GCCGUAAGCUUCCGAAGAAUCUUUUGGGGUCUCGCUGUCACAGGACGAUGGCGUGGGACUCAUCUUCUCAUCAUUUAGAACGUGCGUCAGGAGACAUAGUUUUGGGACCAGAUCUUCGAUCACGUUUUUCUUGUCCGUCCUUGGAUCACACAGUUGAUAUGAAAUCUUCCUCACGUGUAAAACACGUGCAUGCACUAAUGCGAAAGUCCUAGUCUCUCUCAAUCUCCAACGUCAUCUUCCUCCUCCCUCCCACUGCCCCCCCUUUCCCCGUGGCCUCCAAUGACAUCUUGUGCCCUCCUCCUCCAACGUCGUGUCCCUCCAGCGACGUCCUGUGGCCUCCCUCCAACAACUUCCCUGUUGCGUCGCCGACCUCCAGCGGCCUCCAAAGACCUCCCUAUUGCGUCGUCGACGUCCUCGGUGACCUCCCUCCCGCGAGCUCUGCGACCUUCAUCGGCCUCCCUCCCUGGCACCGUGUGGAAGAAAGCGAGGACCUUUUCUGUAAUUAGAUCAAAGUAAUUAUCAUGGAGGGUGAAUCUACAAGUUGUCAUCAUUUUAAUUUUGAGGAAAAUGAAGCUAGUCAGGAAGGUGACUUUGAUGUUAUUGAUGAAGGUGCAUCAACCAUCUCAUCUUGGUUAUUUUCCAACAAAUUACCUGGAGUAAUGCUACAAAAGGUAGUUAUUUUUACAGCAAUGUAGUUAGUACAAAGGGUUUUGUAAAAUUUGGAAGCUGGAGAUUUUUGAUAGGCUGAAUUUCUCUUAUAUUGUGAAAACUAAUGGAUGAAGAAUCAGAAUCUUGGUGGAGCUUAUUUGAGUGCAUUUCUUUAGUGUUAAACUGAAGUUCAUGUUGAUUUGUGGCGUUUGUUGGCAAGUUUGUUGUGAUAGUUGUUGAUCAGAACUAUGGUGUCAAUCUUUGGUGUGCAAUUGUUGUUUUUAGGAGUAUUUGUUUGUAAAGAUUCUACUGAUGUAAAGAUUUUAGUGUGAAUGCAUUGAUGUAGAAUGUGGAGAUCUUGUGAUAUUAUUUUAUG
This is a long non-coding RNA of Zingiber officinale, 1024 nucleotides long. RefSeq lists it as uncharacterized. The record is from RefSeq and is a predicted model, not a curated record. NCBI's taxonomy places the organism in Eukaryota, Viridiplantae, Streptophyta, Magnoliopsida, Zingiberales, Zingiberaceae. The transcript is spliced from 4 exons.